RNAcentral lists this ribosomal RNA (1247 nucleotides) under Vibrio parahaemolyticus. Its description in RNAcentral is "partial 23S ribosomal RNA". It matches the Rfam family "Bacterial large subunit ribosomal RNA", at positions 1 to 1312 of the family's 2925-position model. The record is from RNAcentral. Lineage: Bacteria; Pseudomonadati; Pseudomonadota; Gammaproteobacteria; Vibrionales; Vibrionaceae.
GACUAAGCGUACACGGUGGAUGCCUUGGCAGUCAGAGGCGAUGAAGGACGUAUUAACUUGCGAUAAGCCCAGAUUAGGCAGUAAAAGCCACUUGAGUCUGGGAUUUCCGAAUGGGGAAACCCACUUGCAUAAGCAAGUAUCAUUAACUGAAUACAUAGGUUAAUGAGGCGAACCGGGGGAACUGAAACAUCUAAGUACCCCGAGGAAAAGAAAUCAACCGAGAUUCCGAAAGUAGCGGCGAGCGAAAUUGGACUAGCCCUUAAGCUUUACACGCGUUAGACGAACGGUCUGGAAAGUCCGACGAUACAGGGUGAUAGUCCCGUAGUUGACGACGUGUGUUCAGUGAAAUCGAGUAGGGCGGGACACGUGAUAUCCUGUCUGAAUAUGGGGGGACCAUCCUCCAAGGCUAAAUACUACUGACUGACCGAUAGUGAACCAGUACCGUGAGGGAAAGGCGAAAAGAACCCCUGUGAGGGGAGUGAAAUAGAACCUGAAACCGUGUACGUACAAGCAGUAGGAGCAGGCUUGUCCUGUGACUGCGUACCUUUUGUAUAAUGGGUCAGCGACUUAUAUUCAGUGGCAAGGUUAACCAUCUAGGGGAGCCGUAGGGAAACCGAGUCUUAACUGGGCGUUCAGUCUCUGGAUAUAGACCCGAAACCAGGUGAUCUAGCCAUGGGCAGGUUGAAGGUUGAGUAACAUCAACUGGAGGACCGAACCGACUAAUGUUGAAAAAUUAGCGGAUGACUUGUGGCUAGGGGUGAAAGGCCAAUCAAACCUGGAGAUAGCUGGUUCUCCCCGAAAGCUAUUUAGGUAGCGCCUCGGACGAAUACUACUGGGGGUAGAGCACUGUUAAGGCUAGGGGGUCAUCCCGACUUACCAACCCUUUGCAAACUCCGAAUACCAGUAAGUACUAUCCGGGAGACACACGGCGGGUGCUAACGUCCGUCGUGGAGAGGGAAACAACCCAGACCGCCAGCUAAGGUCCCAAAUUACUACUAAGUGGGAAACGAUGUGGGAAGGCUCAGACAGCCAGGAUGUUGGCUUAGAAGCAGCCAUCAUUUAAAGAAAGCGUAAUAGCUCACUGGUCGAGUCGGCCUGCGCGGAAGAUGUAACGGGGCUAAGUAGUAAACCGAAGCUGCGGCAAUACUCUUUGAGUAUUGGGUAGGGGAGCGUUCUGUAAGCGGUUGAAGGUGUGUGGUAACGCAUGCUGGACGUAUCAGAAGUGCGAAUGCUGACAUGAGUAACGA